RNAcentral lists this small nucleolar RNA (51 nucleotides) under Pyrobaculum calidifontis JCM 11548. RNAcentral's name for it is "PCAsR110". Lineage: Archaea; Thermoproteati; Thermoproteota; Thermoprotei; Thermoproteales; Thermoproteaceae. The record is from RNAcentral.
GUGAUGUGAAGCGGCUGCUAUCCGAGCUGUGAAGAGGAUGGGACGAGCUGA